AUUAAACGCUGGCGGCAGGCCUAACACAUGCAAGUCGGACGGUAGCACAGAGAGCUUGCUCUCGAGUGACGAGUGGCGGACGGGUGAGUAAUGUCUGGGGAUCUGCCCGAUAGAGGGGGAUAACCACUGGAAACGGUGGCUAAUACCGCAUAACGUCGCAAGACCAAAGAGGGGGACCUUCGGGCCUCUCACUAUCGGAUGAACCCAGAUGGGAUUAGCUAGUAGGCGGGGUAACGGCCCACCUAGGCGACGAUCCCUAGCUGGUCUGAGAGGAUGACCAGCCACACUGGAACUGAGACACGGUCCAGACUCCUACGGGAGGCAGCAGUGGGGAAUAUUGCACAAUGGGCGCAAGCCUGAUGCAGCCAUGCCGCGUGUAUGAAGAAGGCCUUCGGGUUAUAAAGUACUUUCAGCGGGGAGGAAGGCGAUGUGGUUAAUAACCGCAUUGAUUGACGUUACCCGCAGAAGAAGCACCGGCUAACUCCGUGCCAGCAGCCGCAGUAA
This 504-nucleotide ribosomal RNA is filed under the name uncultured bacterium. RNAcentral's name for it is "partial 16S ribosomal RNA". It matches the Rfam family "Bacterial small subunit ribosomal RNA", at positions 30 to 523 of the family's 1533-position model. The record is from RNAcentral.